This is a long non-coding RNA of Poecile atricapillus (Black-capped chickadee), 883 nucleotides long. RefSeq lists it as uncharacterized. The transcript has 3 exons. The record is from RefSeq and is a predicted model, not a curated record. NCBI's taxonomy places the organism in Eukaryota, Metazoa, Chordata, Aves, Passeriformes, Paridae.
CAGAUCAUUUCUCUGAGCACCACACACUAGCACUCAGCUUUUCCAAAUACAAAUCAAGGCUGGUUACCUUAAUUACUCAUGGAUUUCUGCAGUGCACAGAACCAUUUGUGCUUUGAAGGUGUGCAACCAGCACAAAACCCAAAUGCCACAGAUGAGACCAGCCCCUGCAAAGGCUUCAGCUCCUGGGAAGACCAGGAAUAUCAAUUCCUCUGGAAGAGCUCACAUUCAGAAAUGCUCUGGGCAGAAUGCAUGAAUGCCACUGUCAUAAAAAUUAAUGGAAAGGAAAAAGAAAACAAACCAAACCUAAUUCCAGCCUGGUCAGACUAAUGAUGUGCGUGAUGUUAAAUGAAACCAGAGGAGUGAACAUGCAAAGGUGACCAACACUAAAAUGAGAUCCCAGCUCCCAAACCCAAUCUGGCAGAAGGCUUUCACCACAGAUUCACUGCACAUCCACUCCCAAAGUGGGCUCAGGGCUGACACCAGAGCUGAGGCUCAUACAGCCUGAGUGCCACUGAUACAAGCUGAUACAAGCUCUUACAACAUUCAAUAUCUAACUUCUAGGCUGUAUGCAAGGCGGAAAUUGCAUAUCCUUACUUGUCCCAUGGAGGGAUCACUCAGCUAAUUUCAUUAAAGCUUACUAAAGGCUGCAAAAUUUGGAGCAAAUGCUGUAUAAAAAAUAAUUAUUAGGACUUACAGUCAUGAGUGUAUGAUGAAAGGAAGAGAGGGUAAAAGACUGAUAAGCACCUUCUGAAUUUCUAGAUCUGCUCAGAUAAUUUGUUCUGAUUAUACAUGAACACCCUCUGUGGGAAAAAAAAACCCAACAAAACCACACCAUGACAAUUACAAUCUGUGAACCAGUGAUGUGAAAACUACAUCAUUCAUA